UCUUCACCAUCCAUCGUUGCAAGCAUUAAGGCCCCACCAUCAAAAACCUUGGUGACGAUAUACGGUCCCUCAUAGUUAGGAGUCCACUUGCCCCUGUGAUCUGUCUGAGGAGGAAGGAUCCUUUUCAACACUAAAUCUCCGACUUGGAAACAACGAGGACGCACUUUCUGAUCAAAGGCUCUCUUCAUCCGACUCUGAUACAACUGCCCAUGACAAAU
This 218-nucleotide long non-coding RNA is filed under the name Lathyrus oleraceus (garden pea). RNAcentral describes it as "Pisum sativum (pea) long non-coding RNA (PSAT_LNC017750)". The record is from RNAcentral. Lineage: Eukaryota; Viridiplantae; Streptophyta; Magnoliopsida; Fabales; Fabaceae.